This 20-nucleotide unclassified non-coding RNA is filed under the name Escherichia coli. RNAcentral's name for it is "RNA (5'-R(*GP*CP*AP*UP*UP*CP*AP*AP*AP*GP*CP*CP*GP*AP*GP*AP*GP*GP*UP*A)-3') from Escherichia coli (PDB 6C6T, chain R)". Lineage: Bacteria; Pseudomonadati; Pseudomonadota; Gammaproteobacteria; Enterobacterales; Enterobacteriaceae. The record is from RNAcentral.
GCAUUCAAAGCCGAGAGGUA